This 253-nucleotide ribosomal RNA is filed under the name uncultured bacterium. RNAcentral describes it as "partial 16S ribosomal RNA". It matches the Rfam family "Bacterial small subunit ribosomal RNA", at positions 524 to 776 of the family's 1533-position model. The record is from RNAcentral.
UACGUAGGGGGCAAGCGUUGUCCGGAAUCAUUGGGCGUAAAGAGCGUGUAGGCGGCCAGAUAAGUCCGCUGUGAAAUCUCGAGGCUCAACUUCGAGCUGUCGGUGGAAACUGUCUGGCUAGAGUCCGGAAGAGGAGAAUGGAAUUCCCGGUGUAGUGGUGAAAUGCGUAGAUAUCGGGAGGAACACCAGUGGCGAAGGCGACUUCCUGGCCUGUUCUUGACGCUGAGGCGCGAAAGCUAGGGGAGCAAACGGG